This is a long non-coding RNA of Epinephelus fuscoguttatus (brown-marbled grouper), 1806 nucleotides long. RefSeq lists it as uncharacterized. The transcript has 5 exons. Lineage: Eukaryota; Metazoa; Chordata; Actinopteri; Perciformes; Serranidae. The record is from RefSeq and is a predicted model, not a curated record.
CAAAGCAGACAUAUUGCUAAAUGAGUUGAUAACUAGGAAAAAUAAAACUACUGUCUUUUUUAUAAAUUUAAGCAGAAGUCUGAGUGUGAAGUGACCGACCGGAUCCACGGACCUGUGCUCCAGGAGUUUUAACAACUUUUGGCAGUGUGUUGGCUAGGUUUUUGAGAUUCCCUGGAGAGAAGCCCUAGAUUUGGAGGUGGAUUCAGAUUCUCCUUGAUGAAGGAGAUGGUGAGCCAAUUGUGAAACUGAGCAUCUCCUCAUCUGAGGAGCUGGAGUGACAUCACCUUUGCCCCAAGGAGGAAACCCCCUUCCCAUCCUUUCCCCUUUCAUCUCCGUGACAGGAGAAUUUAGCGGAGCUUCCCGAGCCUCUGACGCAGAUGACAAGGAUUUCGGAGGAUCACAGCCCCGAGGGAGAGGACGAUGAGCGAGAUGUCGGGGGAGAGGAGGUAGAGGAGGCAGAGGCAGAGGCAGAGCACGGGGAUGAGGUCGUGGAGCAGGCAGAGGGAGACUAGGAGUGUGGCCUGAUGAACAAGAAAGAGUGGAAGCUCUCCAGCAGCAGAGAAGGAUGGUUCGUGAGAGAAAGUAGCCCCACCCUCUUCUCGCGAGAGUUACAGUGCGGAGGGAGAAUGCGGAGUAGUGCGGCGUGGAGUCAGAGCUACAGAGUCAGAGCAGCGAUACGAGCAGAGGGAAAUCACGGAAGAGGAAGUCAAUAAGAAGUCACGAAAACAGCGGUUGUUAACUCACUUAUCAACACAGGAUAACCCGUGAAAGUGUACCUACCUGCAGCAGAGAGGUGGUCGAGGAUCUGUGGGUUAUUAUUUUCGGCAGAGACUUGGCUAGGUUUUUGAGACCCUAUAGAACCCUUUAGAGGUGGAUCUGGAUUCUCCUGGUUGAGGGAGAUGGCGAGCCAGUGAAGAUUUUCCUUGCCAACGGAGUAGGGAACCAGCACCUGAGCCGGAAGAGGACAUCCAACCCCUUCUUCACCUUAACUGGUAGUGUCCGUGGUAGGACCACUACACACACACCUGACGUGUGACCCCUGACUCUUUGAACUUUCCCUUGACUUGACAUACCCACAAAGCGCACUGACUAACAACGACAAAACAUUUAAGGAACAAUUAAAGGAACAUUCAAGGAACCAUUAAAGGAAUGUUACUGUUCCAAUGGGACACUUUUAUUUGGUUUUGUACUGAAAAAGAAAAACUGUGAACCACUGAGUGAUGAGAUGCCAUUGCACUUUGUUUAUUCCAUUUUAUUUUAUUUUCCAUACUGUUAAUAUAGUUGACUGCUUCCAACAUACCGUGUGGCUCCAUUUAGUUAUUGUGUCUGUCAAUUCCUCUUUAAACCCUCCUCCAUGAACCUAGUCUCUGGUCCAAACUCUGAAGUAACUGGCGGGUUACAGGUGCAUACAGAGGUUGGUUUAGGCUUAUGAACUGUAUUGUAGCGCUUUCAGAUUAUUUUAUAAUGUAAAGUGCAUUACAAAUAAAAUGUAUUAUUAUUAUUCUAACAUAUAGUGUAAUUGUUUUACAUUUCUCAUUUAUUUCUGAAGAACAUGUAUUGAAACUGUUUGCAAUUAUACAGCUACUUAUGAGGACACUGAAUGCACAUUAUGAUGGGGAUUUAUGUUGUCCCCACCCAUGUUUUCUGUUCCCAUAACAACUUCUUCAAGAGAUGGACCUAGAGGAGUGGAGAGUCUUGGGCAGGGAGCUGUUUGCAAGGGAGCCAGGCUUAGUUUUUGAUGCUCUGAUGAUGCGUCAACGUCGAAAUGGUGCUCCACCGCCUGCUGGCCUACCUGACGUACUAUGG